This 121-nucleotide small RNA is filed under the name Salmonella bongori. RNAcentral's name for it is "Enterobacterial sRNA STnc340". It matches the Rfam family "Enterobacterial sRNA STnc340". Lineage: Bacteria; Pseudomonadati; Pseudomonadota; Gammaproteobacteria; Enterobacterales; Enterobacteriaceae. The record is from RNAcentral.
AAAAUUUAUUUAGCGCACGUUACGAUAGCAAUUAAUAAACCAUACAGGUAGUCCAAAUAAGGACUUCAUCUUUUCCCGAAAUUAUGGUUUAAAAAAGGCCGCUUAAUAAUAAGCGGCCUGU